GAGUAACGCGUAUGCAACCUACCUUUGGCACGGGGACAGCCCGGGGAAACCCGGAUUAAUACCCGGUAUAGUCUGUUAUACACCUGUAUAAAAGACGAGAGCUACGGCGGCCAAAGAUGGGCAUGCGUGCCAUUAGUUAGUUGGUAGGGUAACGGCCUACCAAGGCAUCGAUGGCUACGGGGUCUAAAAGGAUGAGCCCGCACACUGGUACUGAGACACGGACCAGACUCCUACGGGAGGCAGCAGUGAGGAAUAUUGGUCAAUGGGUGGAAGCCUGAACCAGCCAUGCCGCGUGCAGGAAGACGGCCUUAUGGGUUGUAAACUGCUUUUCUACGGGACGAACGGCUCUGACGUGUCAGAGAUUGACGGUACCGUAGGAAUAAGCAUCGGCUAACUCCGUGCCAGCAGCCGCGGUAAUACGGAGGAUGCGAGCGUUAUCCGGAUUUAUUAGGUUUAAAGGGUGCGUAGGCUGGGCAAUAAGUCAGUGGUGAAAGUCCGCGGCUCAACCGUGGGAUUGCCAUUGAAACUGUUGUUCUUGAGUACAGUCGAGGUAGGCGGAAUGUGUAAUGUAGCGGUGAAAUGCAUAGAUAUUACCCAGAACACCGAUUGCGUAGGCAGCUUACCAGCCUGGAACUGACGCUGAUGCACGAAAGCGUGGGGAGCGAACAGGAUUAGAUACCCUGGUAGUCCACGCCGUAAACGAUGAUCACUCGCUGUUGGCAAUAUAGAGUCAGCGGCUGAGCGAAAGCAUUAAGUGAUCCACCUGGGGAGUACGUCGGCAACGAUGAAACUCAAAGGAAUUGACGGGGGCCCGCACAAGCGGUGGAACAUGUGGUUUAAUUCGAUGAUACGCGAGGAACCUUACCUGGGCUUAAAUGUAGCCGGACGAUUCCGGAAACGGGAUUUCCUUAACGGCUGGUUACAAGGUGCUGCAUGGCUGUCGUCAGCUCGUGCCGUGAGGUGUCGGGUUAAGUCCCAUAAUCGAGCGCAACCAUUAUUGUUAGUUGCCAGCGGGUAGAGCCGGGGACUCUAAGGAGACUGCCACCGUAAGGUGUGAGGAAG
Molecule: ribosomal RNA, 1062 nt
Filed under: uncultured organism
Description: bacterial SSU rRNA
Rfam family: Bacterial small subunit ribosomal RNA
Source: RNAcentral